This 85-nucleotide transfer RNA is filed under the name Kiritimatiellia bacterium. RNAcentral's name for it is "Kiritimatiellae bacterium (gut metagenome) tRNA-Leu". It matches the Rfam family "tRNA". From Rfam's summary of the family: Transfer RNA (tRNA) molecules are approximately 80 nucleotides in length. Lineage: Bacteria; Pseudomonadati; Kiritimatiellota; Kiritimatiellia. The record is from RNAcentral.
GCGCUCGUGGUGGAAUUGGCAGACACGUAAGAUUCAGGUUCUUAUUCCGCGAGGAGUGGGGGUUCAAGUCCCUCCGAGCGCACCA